CGCGUAGGCGGGUUUGUUAGUCAGAGGUGAAAUCCUGCGGCUUAACCGUAGAACUGCCUUUGAUACUGCAAAUCUUGAGUAUGGAAGAGAGAGACGGAAUUCCAGGUGUAGUGGUGAAAUACGUAGAUAUCUGGAAGAACACCAGUGGCGAAGGCGGUCUCUUGGUCCAUUACUGACGCUGAGGCGCGAAAGCGUGGGGAGCAAACAGGAUUAGAUACCCUGGUAGUCC
Molecule: ribosomal RNA, 229 nt
Filed under: uncultured bacterium
Lineage: Bacteria
Description: partial 16S ribosomal RNA
Rfam family: Bacterial small subunit ribosomal RNA
Source: RNAcentral